RNAcentral lists this RNase P RNA (381 nucleotides) under Microthrixaceae bacterium. Its description in RNAcentral is "RNase P RNA component class A". It matches the Rfam family "Bacterial RNase P class A". Rfam says of the family: Ribonuclease P (RNase P) is a ubiquitous endoribonuclease, found in archaea, bacteria and eukarya as well as chloroplasts and mitochondria. The record is from RNAcentral. Lineage: Bacteria; Bacillati; Actinomycetota; Acidimicrobiia; Acidimicrobiales; Microthrixaceae.
UGAGUCCGUUGGGUGACCGCGGGUCCGGUGGCCUGGUCACCGAGCCUGAGGAAAGUCGGGGCUCCACAGGGCAGGACGCUGGCGGGAGCCAGGUGGGGGCGACCUCACGGACAGUGCAACAGAAAGCAGACCGCCGAUGGCCGACCGGUUCGCUGGGAGGCACAGGUGAGGGUGAAAGGGUGCGGUAAGAGCGCACCAGCGUCGUGAGCGAUCGCGGCGGCUUGGUAAACCCCGUCCGGAGCAAGGCCAAGUCGUGGGAUGGGCUGCCCGUCCGGCGUCCUCGGGCGCCACCCGCAGGUGGGCUGCACAGAUGGAUGGUCACCGAACCGAACACCGCGAGGUGUCGGGGAACAGAACCCCGCUUACAGGCGGGCUCACCAG